AACGACACUUGCCUUGAAGUUCAUAUAGGGCGUUGUGAAAAUCUGAAAUCCUUACCAGAGGGCCUGUGUCUUCUUACUAAUCUUCGUAGGUUAAUUGUAUUUGUCUGUGCAAGUCUUGUUUCCUUCCCAAGAGGAUUAUUACCAAAAAGGGCCUCCAACCUGACAUCCCUUGUUAUCUCUGACUGUCAACGAUGGAACGUCUUCCCCAAAGGCAUGAUCAACCUCAAUUCUCUCCAGGAGCUGGUGAUUGGCAGCUGUGAAGGUUUGGCUUCCAUUCUAGAGGAGGGUUUUCCCCCCAACCUAACAUCACUUAUCCUCUUGAAUCCCAGAAAUUGUAAGCCACUCAGGGACUGGGGAUUGCACUUGCACAGACUCAGUUCUCUAACAGAGUUAUGCAUUCAAGGUGUCGAUCAAGAUUUGGUGUCCUUUCCACCAGAGGAGAUGCUGCUUCCUACAUCUCUCAUUAAACUUACCAUUGGAUUCUUCCCAAAUCUGAGACGAAUAUCCAGCCAGGGCCUUCAAGUACUCACCUCUCUUGAAUCUCUUAGAAUUGAUGAUUGCCCAAAGCUUGCAUCCAUUCCAGAGGAUCUGCCCUUUUCACUCACACAACUUUACAUCUUUGAUGAUUGUCCUGUGCUUAGAAAGAGAUAUAAACCAGAUGUACCAAGGUACUGGGAAAAAAUAAGUCACAUUCCAUACAUAGAGAUAGGGGACUACUACACACCCUAAGGCCUUUCGGAGUCUGGCCAGAUCAACAGAGCUAAAGGACAUGAGAAAUGCUCAAAGAUCAGAACUAAUCCUAGUUUCAGCUGAACAUCUCUGGUAAUUUUUCUAAUUUCCAAAGCAAACUCAGAACUGAUUCCAGUGAGAAAGGCCUUCUGAGUUCUAAAAAAUUUCUCUAAGUUUACUGACCCUUAUCAUAUUCCAGUGAGCAAUUUGCUUCUUUCCUCAUUUCAACAUGUGCAUAGGAAAUGAGACAUGGUUGUUGAUGGCCUUACGAAGAAAAGUGUCGAUAAAGAUUUGUGUCUCCUAAUAUUACCAUCUAUGUCUGCAAAUAUGCAUUCAUCCUAGAAG
Fragaria vesca subsp. vesca is the source of this 1074-nucleotide RNA transcript. RefSeq lists it as uncharacterized. Lineage: Eukaryota; Viridiplantae; Streptophyta; Magnoliopsida; Rosales; Rosaceae. The transcript has 2 exons. The record is from RefSeq and is a predicted model, not a curated record.